Molecule: ribosomal RNA, 425 nt
Filed under: uncultured bacterium
Lineage: Bacteria
Description: bacterial SSU rRNA
Rfam family: Bacterial small subunit ribosomal RNA
Source: RNAcentral
GAAUUUUGGACAAUGGGGGAAACCCUGAUCCAGCCAUGCCGCGUGCGGGAAGAAGGCCUUCGGGUUGUAAACCGCUUUUGGCAGGAACGAAACGGCGCUCGCUAAUACCGAGCGCUAAUGACGGUACCUGCAGAAUAAGCCCCGGCUAACGACGUGCCAGCAGCCGCGGUAAUACGUAGGGUGCGAGCGUUAAUCGGAAAUACUGGGCGUAAAGCGUACGCAGGCGGCUGUGCAAGACAGGUGUGAAAUCCCCGGGCUCAACCUGGGAACUGCACUUGUGACUGCACGGCUAGAGUCCGUAAGAGGGGGGUGGAAUUCCACGUGUAGCAGUGAAAUGCGUAGAGAUGUGGAGGAACACCGAUGGCGAAGGCAGCCCCCUGGGAUGAGACUGACGCUCAGGUACGAAAGCGUGGGGAGCAAACAGG